This is a long non-coding RNA of Sander lucioperca (pikeperch), 210 nucleotides long. RefSeq lists it as uncharacterized. Lineage: Eukaryota; Metazoa; Chordata; Actinopteri; Perciformes; Percidae. The transcript is spliced from 3 exons. The record is from RefSeq and is a predicted model, not a curated record.
CAAGUCAUCCAAACUGAAAUCUGAUGAAAGCCAGCACUUAAAUCUGGUAAUGUUUCAAUCAUUGCGGUUUGACUUACUUAAAGGGUCAUUGCGUUUUGACAAAAAUGACUUUCAGUCAUAUUUUGAGGCUUUUGUGCAUUUUUAAGUGCUUACAGGUGUGGGAAAGCAGUAACGUAGAAUUAGUCUAUAUCCUUGACAGCACGUUUUCCU